Molecule: ribosomal RNA, 641 nt
Filed under: Cortinarius saturninus
Lineage: Eukaryota; Fungi; Basidiomycota; Agaricomycetes; Agaricales; Cortinariaceae
Description: eukaryotic LSU rRNA
Rfam family: Eukaryotic large subunit ribosomal RNA
Source: RNAcentral
UGACCUCAAAUCAGGUAGGACUACCCGCUGAACUUAAGCAUAUCAAUAAGCGGAGGAAAAGAAACUAACAAGGAUUCCCCUAGUAACUGCGAGUGAAGCGGGAAAAGCUCAAAUUUAAAAUCUGGCGGUCUUAUGGCUGUCCGAGUUGUAAUCUAGAGAAGUGUUAUCCGCGCUGGACCGUGUACAAGUCUCCUGGAAUGGAGCAUCAUAGAGGGUGAGAAUCCCGUCUUUGACAUGGACUGCCAGGGCUUUGUGAUGCGCUCUCAAAGAGUCGAGUUGUUUGGGAAUGCAGCUCAAAAUGGGUGGUAAAUUCCAUCUAAAGCUAAAUAUUGGCGAGAGACCGAUAGCGAACAAGUACCGUGAGGGAAAGAUGAAAAGAACUUUGGAAAGAGAGUUAAACAGUACGUGAAAUUGCUGAAAGGGAAACGCUUGAAGUCAGUCGCGUCAUCCAGGGAUCAACCUUGCUUUUGCUUGGUGCACUUCCUGGUUUGAUGGGUCAGCAUCAAUUUUGACUAUUGGAAAAAGGCUGAGGGAAUGUGGCAUCUUCGGAUGUGUUAUAGCCCUUGGUCGCAUACAAUGGUUGGGAUUGAGGAACUCAGCACGCCGCAAGGCCGGGUUUUAAACCACGUACGUGCUUAGGA